Long non-coding RNA from Syngnathoides biaculeatus (alligator pipefish), 1437 nucleotides. RefSeq lists it as uncharacterized. The transcript is spliced from 3 exons. The record is from RefSeq and is a predicted model, not a curated record. NCBI's taxonomy places the organism in Eukaryota, Metazoa, Chordata, Actinopteri, Syngnathiformes, Syngnathidae.
GUUGUUGUCGCCUGCCGUCCCGGCUACGCCCGGGAGUUGCUUCUCCAAAACGGGAGCCAUCUUCUCUCUGUGCGAGGCUACGAGCACAAAGGCGAGGCCUUGUUGCGCCGCCCUAGUCCAAGUGGCCAAAGGUGGUGGUGGUGGUGGGGGGGGAUCACUGACCAGCCCCAGUUAAUUCCAAGGGGCUUUGAACACAUCACUCUGGACAUUGUAGGGAAACGAGAGAAAAAGCCGCAAGCACUUAUCCUCACAAGGGUCACAGGACUACUGGACCCUACCCCAUCUGUCAACGGACAGGAGGCAGGGUGCACCCUGAACUGGUUGCAAGUCAAUUGGAGGGCACAUGGAGACAAUCACACCUAGGUUUCCAAUGAAUGCAAGUUUUUGGGACGUGGGAGGAAACUGGAGUGCCCGGAGAAAACCCACACAGGCACUGGAAGAACAUGCAAACUCCACACAGGCAGGGUGGGGAUUUGAAUCUUGGUCCUCAGUACUGUGAGGCUAAUGAUAUAAACAGUUGGCCCACCAUGCCGCCAAUUCUCAUUUCAUUUGAAUAUCAUUAUAUUGAAAGUGAAUUUCCCUGCACCCUUAGCAUUUGGACAGUAGGAAAAAAAAGAUGGUUAUGGAAGGGGACCUUUAAGGGAAUUUCUGAGACGUUAGCAUGCAUUUUGACUCCUAUGUUUGUGUGAGCAAAGUGGCAGAGAAAGUUUGUGGUUCAACUCCUGGGAUUGCAUUCCAGAACAUUUGCAUCAUGUGAAACUCGUCUCUCGCUCCUGCCCAUUUGUCACUGCCGAGCUAUGAUUUAUUCCAGCAAGGAAAACAUGCUAAAUUGAUCUUGUUUUCUUUUUCCCACAAACUGAAUCUUUGUUCCUCCGGUGACACAAAAAUCAACAGCACAAUGAAAAGUCCAAGACCCAAAGCUAACAAGAUUGUGUAGAUGAUUUGGUUUAGGUUUUCAAUAUUCAAAUUAAGGUCACAUUGACUUGAUUUGUUUCUGUGUGGAGGAAAAAACUCCAGAGUGAAAACAGUUUUAAAAUACAUUUGUGCAUUAUUAAUUUCUCUCUCAUUUUUAAGUUUGCAUAACCGUGUAUUGUGCUGUGUUUACAGGAGAGGGUGCUGCGUGUCUAUAUAAAAAUAUUCCCUGACUGCUUUUAUCAAUAGAAAAUGUCGCAACAGGUUCAUAAAUCUCGCAAUGACAUAUAAAUACUUUCAAAACAAAUAUUUUACAAGCUAUGAAUAAGACUCAUAUCAUUUAACCUUUUCUGUAGGUUCAAUGUAGAGAAGUAGAGAGAGGGAAAAGUAGAGAUUUCACUGACAUGAUUCCUCCCGACGAGGUUCAGUUUUUGAAGAUUGAGUUUGAGUUCCAGAAAUGGUGUGUCACAUUUAGCUUCAAAACGUGUUGAAAAAACUGCUAUGGAUUUUCGAGUAACUUGUCUG